AACGAACGCUGGCGGCGCGUCUUAAGCAUGCAAGUCGGACGGCAAGGGUUGUGCUUGCACAACUCCUAGAGUGGCGGACUGGUGAGUAACGCGUGGGUGACCUGCCCUCGAGAUGGGGAUAGCCAUUAGAAAUAGUGGAUAAUACCGAAUACGCUCAUGACCCUGUGGGGAUAUGAGGAAACAGGCUACGGCCUGGCUCGAGGAUGGGCCCGCGUCCCAUUAGCUAGUUGGUGAGGUAACGGCCCACCAAGGCGACGAUGGGUAUCCGGCCUGAGAGGGUGUACGGACACAUUGGGACUGAGAUACGGCCCAAACUCCUACGGGAGGCAGCAGCUAAGAAUAUUCCGCAAUGGACGAAAGUCUGACGGAGCGACGCCGCGUGGAUGAAGAAAGGCCGGAAGGUUGUAAAAUCCUUUUGCUGAUGAAGAAUAAGUGUGGUAGGGAAUGACCGCAUGAUGACAUUAGUCGGUGAAUAAGCCCCGGCUAACUACGUGCCAGCCGCGGC
This 505-nucleotide ribosomal RNA is filed under the name uncultured bacterium. RNAcentral's name for it is "bacterial SSU rRNA". It matches the Rfam family "Bacterial small subunit ribosomal RNA", at positions 29 to 518 of the family's 1533-position model. The record is from RNAcentral.